GACGAACGCUGGCGGCGUGCUUAACACAUGCAAGUCGUACGGUAAGGCCCUUUCGGGGUACACGAGUGGCGAACGGGUGAGUAACACGUGAGUAACCUGCCCACAACUUUGGGGUAACGCUAGGAAACUGGUGCUAAUACUGGAUAUGUGCUCCUGCUGCAUGGUGGGGGUUGGAAAGCUCCGGCGGUUGUGGAUGGACUCGCGGCCUAUCAGCUUGUUGGUGGGGUAGUGGCCUACCAAGGCGGCGACGGGUAGCCGGCCUGAGAGGGUGACCGGCCACAUUGGGACUGAGAUACGGCCCAGACUCCUACGGGAGGCAGCAGUGGGGAAUAUUGCACAAUGGGCGCAAGCCUGAUGCAGCAACGCCGCGUGCGGGAUGACGGCCUUCGGGUUGUAAACCGCUUUCAGCAGGGACGAAGCUUUUUGUGACGGUACCUGCAGAAGAAGCACCGGCUAACUACGUG
Molecule: ribosomal RNA, 464 nt
Filed under: uncultured bacterium
Lineage: Bacteria
Description: partial 16S ribosomal RNA
Rfam family: Bacterial small subunit ribosomal RNA
Source: RNAcentral